RNAcentral lists this long non-coding RNA (886 nucleotides) under Mytilus galloprovincialis (Mediterranean mussel). The record is from RNAcentral. Lineage: Eukaryota; Metazoa; Mollusca; Bivalvia; Mytilida; Mytilidae.
GUCGCCCGGGGUGUCAGAUUUUGCGUCGCAAGGGGUAGAGCCUUGUCAUAAAAAAAAGAAUACAUUUUCUUGUAAAUCGAUCUCUAUCUGAUAUUUUUUAAUUCAAACACACCUACACAAAUAGGAACAUAAAUGUAACAGAAAUUCAACCCAGAAAAACACAGGUUACAUCAAAUUCUUCAAAUGUUAUUCAAUUCCGGUUCGUUUAGAGAUAUGUAUAUAGUCAGAGUAGACCUUCAAAGUAGAUAUGAUAUGAUAGAUGUGUAACAGAAAACGGAUAGUUCUAGCUGGGCGAUUACGAACGAAAUAACUGUCUUGAAUCAUUUUUUCUUGUAAACCUGUUCCGUUGUAUAUUGUGUACAAGUCGUUGUUUUCUCAUUGACAAUUGUAGUAUCAUCGUUUUCAGGAUUACUUGAAGUUGUGUUGUCAUUCUCUGAAAAAGAUGCCGGUGAGUGUUUCAUUGGAGAGAGUGUUCUUAUUCUUUUAGGAGUAAUCAUUAUGGAUUUUUGCGGCGUGCACGAGUGCUUUUUAGAUGAACCUGCUGAUGAACUAUGAUGCAUUUUGGCUGGUGGAGGCUUCGGGCAUAUCUUAUAUUGAGGACUAUUUUGUGAUGUUUUGGUUUAUUGAGCCAUAGCCUUGACUUUUUUUUUACCAUGAUAGUGACUGAAAAGGAAAAUAAAUUGUUUAUUAGCUUGAAAACUAAAUAUUUUAAGCCAUUUUUUUUACUAUGAAUGAAAUCAAAAGCACAUGUUUUAUAACACUAAAAACAGGCAAAAUGAAAAACCCUUAUUUUGUCAUGGUAAAGUAGAUGUGAAUGAAAUCAAAAGCAUAUAUUUUAUAAGACCAAAAAUAGGCAAAAUCAAAAAUCCUUGUUUCGUCAUGGUAA